This is a long non-coding RNA of Thamnophis elegans (Western terrestrial garter snake), 291 nucleotides long. RefSeq lists it as uncharacterized. NCBI's taxonomy places the organism in Eukaryota, Metazoa, Chordata, Lepidosauria, Squamata, Natricidae. The transcript has 4 exons. The record is from RefSeq and is a predicted model, not a curated record.
CCGCUGAGUAAGAAAUGGCCAGAGAGUAACGGAUCAGCAAUUCUGCCUCUUAGGAAACCUCUAAACUUUGCAAGGCUGGAAUUGCGGUAAAACCAAGCUAUGGGCCAAGUGGAGCUGAUUUGGGGUGCCUUCUCCUUGAUGGUUCUGGGGGCCCUUAUCAGCAUGUGCAUGAAAUGUCAACAGACUGGGAGUAAACAGGAAAAGGCAAAUGUGGACAACCAGAGAACUCAGUGUGAAAAUCAACAGGACUGUGAAUGUCCCAUUUACGUAGUGCCUAUUGAUCUUCUCUCU